NNNGAUACAGAGAAGAUUAGCAUGGCCCCUGCACAAGGAUGACACGCAAAUUCCUGAAGUGUUCCAUAUUUUA
This 73-nucleotide small nuclear RNA is filed under the name Capra hircus (goat). The record is from RNAcentral. Lineage: Eukaryota; Metazoa; Chordata; Mammalia; Artiodactyla; Bovidae.